UCGAGUGGCGAACGGGUGAGUAACACGUGGGUGAUCUGCCCUGUACUUUGGGAUAAGCCUGGGAAACUGGGUCUAAUACCGAAUAUGACCACUUCUUGGAUGGGGUGGUGGAAAGCUUUUGCGGUAUGGGAUGAGCUCGCGGCCUAUCAGCUUGUUGGUGGGGUAAUGGCCUACCAAGGCGUCGACGGGUAGCCGGCCUGAGAGGGUGUACGGCCACAUUGGGACUGAGAUACGGCCCAGACUCCUACGGGAGGCAGCAGUGGGGAAUAUUGCACAAUGGGCGCAAGCCUGAUGCAGCGACGCCGCGUGGGGGAUGACGGCCUUCGGGUUGUAAACUCCUUUCGCAACCGACGAAGCUUUUGUGACGGUAGGUUGAGAAGAAGCACCGGCUAACUACGUGCCAGCAGCCGCGGUAAUACGUAGGGUGCGAGCGUUGUCCGGAAUUACUGGGCGUAAAGAGCUCGUAGGUGGUUUGUCGCGUCGUUUGUGGAAUACCGCAGCUUAACUGCGGGGUUGCAGGCGAUACGGGCAUAACUUGAGUGCUGUAGGGGAGACUGGAAUUCCUGGU
RNAcentral lists this ribosomal RNA (568 nucleotides) under uncultured Actinomycetes bacterium. Its description in RNAcentral is "bacterial SSU rRNA". It matches the Rfam family "Bacterial small subunit ribosomal RNA", at positions 91 to 674 of the family's 1533-position model. The record is from RNAcentral. Lineage: Bacteria; Bacillati; Actinomycetota; Actinomycetes.